Molecule: long non-coding RNA, 615 nt
Organism: Alosa alosa (allis shad)
Lineage: Eukaryota; Metazoa; Chordata; Actinopteri; Clupeiformes; Clupeidae
Exons: 3
Source: RefSeq, a predicted model, not a curated record
CCUAACGUUGUUAGCAUUCUAAUCUUAAUUAUAAACUAUAGCCUAGGCUACGUCAAGAGUAUUCAAUUUGCUGUUAUGAAUUAAUUGUAUAGGCCUACUGUUAUGAAUUAAUUGUAUACUGUUUGUUGUCUUUCUUAAUGGGGUUUUGUAAUGUCGGGACAAUUUAUCUUAGGAUAGCUAAUGUUUAAACCAUAGAUUAUAUACGUUGGAUGUUGGAGACGCGGCUCGCGCUGAGAACGCAAUUUAAAAGUGAAAAAUACUUAGCGAACGGCUUAUUGCCUAUCUAGCUUCUACCAACAUUAUAUGGGGGAACGGGAACUCAUUGUUUUUUUUGUCUUAUUGUAGGACUUGAUCUGACUUUAUCCCGUGUGUGUGUACCCGGUUGACGACAGGCUGCCAUGUUUUGUCCUUUCUGUGGCCAUGAUCUGGGGACUGUUCAAGCCUUCUGUGGCUCAUGUGGCAAAAAUGUAAAAUUUUUGACUGAAGCUGAAGAUGACAGGUCAGCAUUGGACAGCCCCCACUGAGGAGGACCUGAUUCGGAAUUACUUUGAGGAUGGCUACAGCCAUGAUGAAAUUUUGGAUUUCUUGGCAACAGUUCACAAUGUUAAAAUGAGC